CGUUUACAAAAGUCAUUUAUUUCUCGAAAAUAUAAACGUACAAAGGAGUUAAAUACACAAAGCUGAUGACAAACAAGGAGAAAGAAAGACAGAGAGAGAGAGAGAGAGAGAGAGAGAGAGAGAGAGAGAGAGAGAGAGAGAGAGAAACUGCAGCACAGGUCAUGAGAUCACUGGUCCAGUUUCCACCCACGGCCAGAACACAAAAGCACUCAGCACCAUCCAGGCUGCAAUAACACGGCGGAAGCAGAGCUGUGAACUAGCGUUACAUAACCAACACAUUCUCCACACUAAAACACCUACGGCUUCCUAGAAAUCACACAGGAACACACACAUGCUGUACAACGCACAGCAUAAACAAAAACAACCCGCCGAGCCAUUAUUAGUGUUUCUCUGACUGCUGAACUGCUCCGUGCUUCAGAGUUUCCACCCGAAAUGUCUGGUAUAGUGCUGUGCAAAGCAAAAGUUUUGGCUCCCUCCGUUUAUCGUCAGUCUAGUGACUUAAUAGAUUCUGUAAAACUGUAGUCAGACUCGCAAACUUUAACAAACCCGGAUAACAGCGUUUGUGGGUUGUAAUUGAUGCUUUCGUUUGAAUUUUUUUUGUUUUCAUAGCAACGACAUAGACAAGGACUUUGUCGUCGAGACGUCGAGAACAUUUCCGUCCUGGUUGGAAGGAAACUCUGCUGUUAACUGAAACCUUACGUUUUCUUCUUUUUAGGAUAGAAACCUCUUUAGGCUUUGGGUGUGAGGAGACUAGAUUUUGGAUCGCUCAUACAUGACAGUAGAAAUCUUGAACUAGGGGACCCAAAUCAGUUCCAGCAUGACAACGCACAAAGCCAGAUCCAAGAAGAUCUGCUUUACAUGGAUUGGAGUUGAAAAUCUGAACGCUGACUGCACCCCAGGCCUCCUUACCUACGUCAAUACCUGACUUUACUGAACAUUCUUAUAUCUUGAAAGAGCACAACACCUCCACAAAAUCUAAUGGAACAUCUUCCCAAAAGAGUGGAGCUUAUUAUAACAGCACAUUGAGACCACACUAGCACUUGGUGUCCACAAACUUUUGGUAUUAAUUGCACACUAAACGUGCUCUAAAGAUUGAUGGCACAUUUGUGAAUAAUUAGGCUCAACCAUAAAACAGCACCCCUGGACCACAGAGGCUUAAGGAGCCCUUACUUGAUAGGACUGGAGCUUAAACCCAUGACCUUUUAAUCACUACAACAACUACCAUGUGAAGGACCGGCUGUUUCUGAUAAGAUCGGAUGACCAGUUAUAGUCCGAAUCAAUUGGAAACCAUUUUGUGCAGCUGGGGAUGGUUCCACCCUCAACAGCCUGAAGAUCAACAACUCUCGCAACUCUAACCCUAGAUUCUCAGCAACUCAAAAACUUUGAGGAUGGAUUUGCACUGGAAUUAACAUCAACAGUCUGGGCUCAGAACCACAGUUUGUAUGAACAGUUCUGUAUUUCAGCACCUAUCAUUGAACAGCACCUCAACACUGAAGGAACUGUAAUGAAUGGAUAUUCAGUGAUGAGGAUGAGGAUCACUUUUGAGUCUGGUUCCUCUCAUGGCUCUCUCAUGAGAGCUAAACUUAUAAGGAACAAACAGACUUGUGUUUCAUCCUUAACGCUCUGCAAUUUUCACGUGUUUCAGAAGUGUCGUAAACCCUGUAACGAAAUCCAAGACACCGUUUUUAUAAGUCUCGAUUCUGAACCUGUGCACCACCGCAUGGAAACGUUCUGUAUUCGGUUUCUCUGGCGCUUCCUUCGUGAAUCGAUAACUUCC
Molecule: long non-coding RNA, 1777 nt
Organism: Silurus meridionalis
Lineage: Eukaryota; Metazoa; Chordata; Actinopteri; Siluriformes; Siluridae
Exons: 3
Source: RefSeq, a predicted model, not a curated record